AUUGAACGCUGGCGGCAGGCCUAACACAUGCAAGUCGAACGAGUGGCGGACGGGUGAGUAAUGUCUGGGAAACUGCCUGAUGGCGGGGGAUAACUACUGGAAACGUUAGCUAAUACCGCAUACCAUCGGAUGUGCCCAGAUGGGAUUAGCUAGUAGGUGGGGUAAAGGCUCACCUAGGCGACGAUCCCUAGCUGGUCUGAGAGGAAGACCAGCAACACUGGAACUGAGACACGGGCCAGACGCCGACGGGAGGCAGCAGUGGGGAAUAUUGCACAAUGGGCGCAAGCCGGAUGCAGCCAUGCCGCGUGUAUGAAGAAGGCCGUCGGGUUGUAAAGUAAUUUCAGCGGGGAGGCGUUACCCGAAGAAGAAGCACCGGCUAACUACGUGCCAGCAGCCGCGGUAAGAC
RNAcentral lists this ribosomal RNA (406 nucleotides) under uncultured bacterium. Its description in RNAcentral is "partial 16S ribosomal RNA". It matches the Rfam family "Bacterial small subunit ribosomal RNA", at positions 29 to 526 of the family's 1533-position model. The record is from RNAcentral.